CCUKGUGCCAGCAGCCGCGAUAAUUCCAGCUCCAAUAGCGUAUAUUAAAGUUGUUGCGGUUAAAAAGCUCGUAGUUGGUUCUGUGUGCCAUGCUGUUGGUUCACCGCCUGUCGGUGCAACUAACAUGUCAUGGAACGUCUUGUCGGUGGUAAUUAAAGACCUAUUUUUUAAGGGAAAGUAUUUGCUUGAACUUAAAUAUUUAGGUUCCUUUAAUUACCGAUUAGUUCCUACCGCGGUGCUCUUCACUGAGUGUCGAGGUCGGCCGACAAGUUUACUUUGAACAAAUUAGAGUGCUUAAAGCAGGCAAAAGUCUGCCUUGAAUAGUGGUGCAUGGAAUAAUAGAAUAGGACCUUGGUUCUAUUUUGCUGGUUUUCUGAAUCCAAGGUAAUGAUCAAUAUGGACAGGCGGGGGCAUUCGUAUUGCGACGUUAGAGGUGAAAUUCUUGGAUCGUCGCAAGACGAACUAGAGCGAAAGCAUUUGCCAAGUAUGUCUUAAUUGAUCAAGAACGAAAGUUAGAGGUUCGAAGGCGAUCAGAUACCGCCCUAGUUCUAACCAUAAACGAUGCCAGCUAGCGAUCCGCCGAUGUUUAUCUCAUGACUCGACGGGCAGCUCCUCGGGAAACCAAAGCUUUUGGGUUCCGGGGGAAGUAUGGUUGCAAAGCUGAAACUUAAAGGAAUUGACGGAAGGGCACCACCAGGAGUGGAGCUUGCGGUUUAAUUUGACUCAACACGGGAAACUUUAUCAGGCCCAGACAUUGGAAGGAUUGACAGAUUGAUAGCUCUUUCUUGAUUCAAUGGGUAGUGGUGCAUGGCCGUCCUUAGUUGGUGGAACGAUUUGUCUGGUUAAUUCCGAUAACGAACGAGACUCUAGCAUACUAACUAGACGCUUGGUAUUUUUGCUACCAGCGUUUUUAUUCUUCUUAGAGGGACAGGCGGCGUUUAGCCGCACGAGAUUGAGCAAUAACAGGUCAGGGAUGC
RNAcentral lists this ribosomal RNA (977 nucleotides) under Corixidea sp. UCR ENT 00026657. RNAcentral's name for it is "SSU rRNA". It matches the Rfam family "Eukaryotic small subunit ribosomal RNA", at positions 562 to 1489 of the family's 1831-position model. The record is from RNAcentral. Lineage: Eukaryota; Metazoa; Arthropoda; Insecta; Hemiptera; Schizopteridae.